This 265-nucleotide ribosomal RNA is filed under the name uncultured bacterium. RNAcentral's name for it is "partial 16S ribosomal RNA". It matches the Rfam family "Bacterial small subunit ribosomal RNA", at positions 355 to 612 of the family's 1533-position model. The record is from RNAcentral.
UGGGGAAUUUUGGACAAUGGGGGAAACCCUGAUCCAGCCAUCCCGCGUGUGCGAUGAAGGCCUUCGGGUUGUAAAGCACUUUUGGCAGGGAAGAAAAGGCUCGGGCUAAUAACCUGGGCAAAUGACGGUACCUGCAGAAUAAGCACCGGCUAACUACGUGCCAGCAGCCGCGGUAAUACGUAGGGUGCAAGCGUUAAUCGGAAUUACUGGGCGUAAAGCGUGCGCAGGCGGUUCGGAAAGAAAGGUGUGAAAUCCCAGGGCUUAA